GGGGGGGGCGGGCGGGGGGCCGGGCGGAGGGAGGGCGGGGGGGAGGGCGGGGGGGGGGGGCUCUUACGGGUGGCGAGUGGCGGACGGGUGAGGGAUGCAGCGGAAUCGACUUUUUCGGGGGGGAUAACGGAGGGAAACUUACGCUACGACCGCAUACGACCUACGGGUGAACGCAGGGGGUCUUCGGCCCUUGCGCGAAUGAAUGAGCCGAUGUCGGAUUAGCUAGUUGGCUGGGUAAAGGCCCACCAAGGCGACGAUCCGUAGCUGGUCUGAGAGGAUGAUCAGCCACACUGGAACUGAGACACGGUCCAGACUCCUACGUGAGGCAGCAGUGGGGAAUAUUGGACAAUGGGCGCAAGCCUGAUCCAGCCAUACCGCGUGGGUGAAGAAGGCCUUCGGGUUGUAAAGCCCUUUUGUUGGGAAAGAAAAGCAGCAGGUUAAUACCCCGCUGUUCUGACGGUACCCAAAGAAUAAGCACCGGCUAACUUCGUG
Molecule: ribosomal RNA, 492 nt
Filed under: uncultured bacterium
Lineage: Bacteria
Description: partial 16S ribosomal RNA
Rfam family: Bacterial small subunit ribosomal RNA (bases 53-492)
Source: RNAcentral